GGGGCAAUCAUACUUUAUACACACUUCUGUGU
RNAcentral lists this non-coding RNA (32 nucleotides) under Rattus norvegicus (Norway rat). The record is from RNAcentral. Lineage: Eukaryota; Metazoa; Chordata; Mammalia; Rodentia; Muridae.